This 388-nucleotide ribosomal RNA is filed under the name uncultured bacterium. RNAcentral describes it as "bacterial SSU rRNA". It matches the Rfam family "Bacterial small subunit ribosomal RNA", at positions 774 to 1159 of the family's 1533-position model. The record is from RNAcentral.
AGUCAAUAGAUACCCUGGUAGUCCACGCCGUAAACGAUGAGUACUAGGUGUAGGAGGUAUCGACUCCUUCUGUGCCGCAGUUAACACAAUAAGUACUCCGCCUGGGAAGUACGGUCGCAAGAUUAAAACUCAAAGGAAUUGACGGGGGCCCGCACAAGCAGCGGAGCAUGUGGUUUAAUUUCGAAGCAACGCGAAGAACCUUACCUAGACUUGACAUCUCCUGAAUAGUGUAGAGAUACAUGAAGCCCUUCGGGGUCGAGGAAGACAGGUGGUGCAUGGUUGUCGUCAGCUCGUGUCGUGAGGUGUUGGGUUAAGUCCCGCAACGAGCGCAACCCUUAUUACUAGUUGCUACCAUUAAGUUGAGCACUCUAGUGAGACUGCCCGGGUU